AAGAAAAUUAAAUAACAAUAACGAGGUUAUAUACAGGGUAUUACGGUACAGAGUCAAUGUGGAGGCUAUAUACAGGGUAUUACGGUACAGAGUCAAUGUGGAGGCUAUAUACAGGGUGUUACGGUACAGAGUCAAUGUGGAGGCUAUAUACAGGGGGUUACGGUACAGAGUCAAUGUGGAGGCUAUAUACAGGGUGUUACGGUACAGAGUCAAUGUGGAGGCUAUAUACAGGGUGUUACGGUACAGAGUCAAUGUGGAGGCUAUAUACAGGGGGUACCGGUACAGAGUCAAUGUGGAGGCUAUAUACAGGGUGUUACGGUACAGAGUCAAUGUGGAGGCUAUAUACAGAGGGUACCGGUACAGAGUCAAUGUGGAGGCUAUAUACAGGGGGGUACCGGAACAGAGUCAAUGUGGAGGCUAUAUACAGGGUGUUACGGUACAGAGUCAAUGUGGAGGCUAUAUACAGGGUAUUACGGUACAGAGUCAAUGUGGAGGCUAUAUACAGGGGGUACCGGUACAGAGUCAAUGUGGAGGCUAUAUACAGGGUGUUACGGUACAGAGUCAAUGUGGAGGCUAUAUACAGGGGGUACCGGUACAGAGUCAAUGUGGAGACUAUAUACAGGGUGUUACGGUACAGAGUCAAUGUGGAGGCUAUAUACAGGGUGUACCGG
This 671-nucleotide long non-coding RNA is filed under the name Salmo salar (Atlantic salmon). Its description in RNAcentral is "lncRNA (ENSSSAG00000102147.1)". Lineage: Eukaryota; Metazoa; Chordata; Actinopteri; Salmoniformes; Salmonidae. The record is from RNAcentral.